This 496-nucleotide ribosomal RNA is filed under the name uncultured marine bacterium. RNAcentral describes it as "bacterial SSU rRNA". It matches the Rfam family "Bacterial small subunit ribosomal RNA", at positions 388 to 902 of the family's 1533-position model. The record is from RNAcentral.
CCAGCCAUGCCGCGUGAGUGAUGAAGGCCUUAGGGUCGUAAAGCUCUUUCGCCUGAGAAGAUAAUGACUGUAGCAGGUAAAGAAACCCCGGCUAACUCCGUGCCAGCAGCCGCGGUAAUACGGAGGGGGUUAGCGUUGUUCGGAAUUACUGGGCGUAAAGCGCGCGUAGGCGGACUGGAAAGUUGGGGGUGAAAUCCCAGGGCUCAACCCUGGAACUGCCUCCAAAACUAUCAAUCUAGAGUUCGAGAGAGGUGAGUGGAAUUCCGAGUGUAGAGGUGAAAUUCGUAGAUAUUCGGAGGAACACCAGUGGCGAAGGCGGCUCACUGGCUCGAUACUGACGCUGAGGUGCGAAAGUGUGGGGAGCAAACAGGAUUAGAUACCCUGGUAGUCCACACCGUAAACGAUGAAUGCCAGUCGUCGGGUAGCAUGCUAUUCGGUGACACACCUAACGGAUUAAGCAUUCCGCCUGGGGAGUACGGUCGCAAGAUUAAAACUC